This 1069-nucleotide long non-coding RNA is filed under the name Phoenix dactylifera (date palm). RNAcentral's name for it is "long non-coding RNA (PDAC_LNC009240)". The record is from RNAcentral. Lineage: Eukaryota; Viridiplantae; Streptophyta; Magnoliopsida; Arecales; Arecaceae.
UUUCUCUGGUUCGGCUCUCUUCUUCUCUUCACCGAAACAGGGUCUCCCCUGUUUUUCCUCAACCGAGCUCCCCCCUCUUCCCUGUCGAUGGCUUCUUCAUAUAGACCCUCUCACCCGGUGAUGGAUCCCUUGGGAGCGUGCCGGUGGGGAUGCGAAUCCGGGAUACUUGAUGGGAGGAGCCGCAGGAUCAACGUGAUGGCUGGCUCCGGAUGCAUCGCGGAAGAAGAAGCGGAGGACAGAUCGCAGAUGGAUGGCUCAAAUUCGGAAGAGGGGGACAGCUAGAUGCUUGGGCUCAUGCCUGAUCUCAUGGGAUGCUGGAAGCAUUGAUCAUGGAGGAGAUUUGGUUGCGGGAUGGCUGGGAGGAUCGCUCCGGACGACUUCUUUCUUUGGACCGUAGAAGGAAUGGAUGCGGGAUUGUCGGACGCCUGAUGCGGAAGGAUGGCUGACUCCGAGAGCGGCUGGGACGUGAUGCUGGGAGGAGCGGAAGAAGGAGGUGGCCGGAUCCAUGGCGUGAUACGCUGGGAGCAUGCGGAGCUUGUCUCGGACGCCCGGAACGGCAGCUGUGCGGAGGCGGGGAUGCAGGCGGAUGAAGAGGCGGAGGAUCUGGUCGCCGGCUGCACCGCGUGGAGGAUUGGAGCGUCGGCUGUGGUGCGUGGCUGGAAUGGGCGGGGGGGGGGGCUCUGUGAGGCGGGAUCACAGGAAGGAUAGAUAACGGGAGGAAGGAGAUAAACAGUGAAACAGUUUUAAUUAUAUUAUUUCUCACUGUUCAUAUGAACAGUAUUUUUACGGGACACUGUUCAUAUGAACAGUGAAUAAGUGAUUCUCCCCAAAAUUAUUUUUAUUUAUUUCAUUAUUUCCCUUUUUUUUGUUUUAAAUUUAUAAAUUUUAUAUGAAGGCAGGUAAGGAAUUGGUUGGAAAUUGACUUUGGGUUUGAGGUGGGUCAUGAUGGUUGACUUGUUCUUGAGCCCAUUGUCAUUUAAAUUUAAUUCUUGCUAAGCUGCUUCAGAUCGAAUUCGACCAGACAAGACUAAAAAUAGGACCGUGACCUAAUAAAAAAGGUUAAUCAAAU